AUUUCCCUCUUGUUUUUUUUCAUUCACCAGAAAACCCUAACAUCAACUUUCUUCACUUUCUCUCUAUCACGAACACAGAGACUUUUUCACUUUCUCUCUUCACGAACCCUAACAUCGCAGCUUCAAAUCCAUCGCAGCUUCAAAUCGCAGCUUCCAUCGCAGCUUCCAUCGCAGAGCAGCUUCUCACACGAACAGAGCAGCUUCAAAUCCAUCGCCGCUUCCAUCGGAGCUUCAAAUCGACCAAAUCAGCUUCCAUCGCAAAGCCGCUUCUCACACGAACAGAGGGUUAACCAAAGUUAUACCAAAUGGAUAUGGCAUGGUGAGUCGGUAACCGAUCCAAUUGCGUCAAAUACAAAUGAAGUCGAUGUAGAUAUGAACGAUCAGCUAGAUGAUAUGAUACGUGAUAUAGGCCCAAAGUCUUUCCAGCGAGCACA
This is a long non-coding RNA of Trifolium pratense (red clover), 434 nucleotides long. RefSeq lists it as uncharacterized. The record is from RefSeq and is a predicted model, not a curated record. Lineage: Eukaryota; Viridiplantae; Streptophyta; Magnoliopsida; Fabales; Fabaceae. The transcript has 2 exons.